UUACAUUCUCUAUUUAUUUUCUCGAUUCACAUACAUUUCCGCUACGCUCUUAAACCCAACAUUUAUUUUGUUCUAAGUUUUUAUUGUUUAUCGAAUUAAUGUGCUGUUUCAAUGGAACCAUGUUAGAUACACUGGUGAUGCAUUGUGUCACUCUUGAAAGUGAAGUCACCAAGUGAUUGGCACAGGAAGUGGUCUUCUGUAUCUUGAUAUCUUUUGCAACUUGAACUUUACAUUUGCCAAGGUUUUCUUCAUAAUUGGGAAACCAAAAAAAGGAAAUAGUCAAAGGGAAAGGAAAAAAGAAAAAUAGAGAGAAACAACAUGCAGCAAGAAGAACGUUGUAGGCAUCAGCUUGGUAAACUAUUGCACCUAACCAUUUUGGGAAGGCAUGUAUAUUGUAUACAGUAUACGUAUUAGUCAUUUCUGAGCCAAAUGGCCAUUAUUGCGCCUAAUGUAUAACUUACCUAUCUCAAAUUUUUUUAGCUUCCACUACUGUGCUUGUAAGGAUGCAGAAAGCCGCCGGCAGAUGAGAUCAAUGCCAGCUGUUUUCCUUAAAGAAAGUACAGAAACUAAAGAAAAAAGGUAAAAAAGUAUGAAAGGAACAUUGAACUUCUAAUAGUCCUAUGUUUGUCCUUUAUGUUGCUGCAUUAAGCAAUUUGCCUGUUCUAUUAAGAGGCAAAAGUUUGCAUGAAUGCUUCCAACUCUAUCAUCGCCUUUGACAAAAUAUGCAGAAGCUACCCAAUAUUGUUGGUUAGGAGUUGGGUAGAGGCCGCGCGAACACAGGCCCCUGCUGCCACAAAUUAUGACAUAGGCUCAACAUCUUGGAUCAACCUUAGGCAAGCACCCCUCCAUAGUGCAAUGGAAGUCACCAACCUAAGCCAUGGGUCUUAUUGAUCGCCCAGACCCUGUCCAGGUAAAUAAGUUUCCUUGAAGCUCUUCUCUAUGGUUUUAUACACCUUCUGAUCCUUAGUUUUCUGUGUACCAGCCGAUGAGGGAGAUCACGCAUUUAAGCUUAUUCUUAAUGAAUAAAUAGUUGCUUAAUUAAGGCUGUUUCAAAUUUAGACUAAAUGUGAGCAGUUGGCAAUCACAAGGAGUUAUCAUAGGGGUUAACAGCCAUAAGCCCAUAAUUGAAGAUAAUGAUUGUCUCAGCGGCAUAUCGAAAAAGGAUC
This 1166-nucleotide long non-coding RNA is filed under the name Nicotiana benthamiana. Its description in RNAcentral is "long non-coding RNA (NBEN_LNC040421)". The record is from RNAcentral. Lineage: Eukaryota; Viridiplantae; Streptophyta; Magnoliopsida; Solanales; Solanaceae.